RNAcentral lists this ribosomal RNA (397 nucleotides) under bacterium enrichment culture. Its description in RNAcentral is "bacterial SSU rRNA". It matches the Rfam family "Bacterial small subunit ribosomal RNA", at positions 521 to 916 of the family's 1533-position model. The record is from RNAcentral.
UAAAACGUAGGAGGCAAGCGUUAUCCGGAUUUACUGGGCGUAAAGCGCGUGCAGGCGGUUUGGAAAGUUGGAUGUGAAAGCUCCCGGCUUAACUGGGAGAGGUCGUUCAAAACUACCAGACUAGAGGGCGAUAGAGGGAGGUGGAAUUCCGGGUGUAGUGGUGAAAUGCGUAGAUAUCCGGAGGAACACCAGUGGCGAAAGCGGCCUUCUGGAUCGUACCUGACGCUCAGACGCGAAAGCUAGGGUAGCAAACGGGAUUAGAGACCCCGGUAGUCCUAGCCGUAAACGAUGUAGACUUGGCGUCGGCGGGUUUAAAUCCGUCGGUGCCGAAGCAAACGCGAUAAGUCUACCGCCUGGGGACUACGGCCGCAAGGUUAAAACUCAAAGGAAUUGACGG